Ziziphus jujuba (common jujube) is the source of this 3164-nucleotide long non-coding RNA. RefSeq lists it as uncharacterized. NCBI's taxonomy places the organism in Eukaryota, Viridiplantae, Streptophyta, Magnoliopsida, Rosales, Rhamnaceae. The transcript is spliced from 4 exons. The record is from RefSeq and is a predicted model, not a curated record.
AGAGCCUGAAUGUUCACCAAAAAAAUGAAAAGAGAGAGCCUCAAGCCCGUACAUAUAACCUAUGGCCAAUCACCGAGGGACAACAUUAAUGGUCCUCUCUUUCUUUCUCCUCUCUCUACUGCCUCUGCCCUCUGCCGUCUGCCCCUUUAAACUUUGUGCGUACUUCACUCGCUCCCCCUCUUUCUUUCUUGCAAUUUCCUCUCAACUUCAAAGGCAAACCGGGAAAACAAAAGGAAACAAAAAAUCCGGCAGGCUACAUUUUCCAGAGAUUUUACCAUGGAAGCAAAAGAGCAAAGCUGGUGUGACUUUGAUGAUUUAGCAAGCUAUAGAGUAACGCUCGUGUGAAUUUGGUGAUGAAAAUGGCUAUUUAUUAGGUCUAGAUCGUCCUCAGAGAAAAGCAAGGUGAAUGUGAAGAUAAAGUUGAGAGAACUAAGGUUCCAUAUCCAAACCAAAAUUUUAGCCUCUGCUUUUGAUUUGUUUAUUUGUUUGUUUCCGUAAAAUUAAACUGCAACAAUUGAAAUUAGAAUAAGAUCGAAACUAAAUGAAAAGCAAUUGGCUUCUAAUGGCUACUGAUACUAUCUUACCUUCAGCCUGUUACGGAAUCAAAAUUCACGAACAUUAAAAUCUCGUUGCUUCAGCCGGUUUCUACUAUGUUUCCUGGCUGUUUCUACUACUUUUCCUUCAGUAUCUGUUGGUCGACCUGACAUUGUAAUGUUACUUCAUGCUUAAGAUUGGUAUAGACGCUGCACCAUCGAGUUCAUCUUCUUGAAAUGGAAUCAGAUCUUGAUAUGCGGUUAGAUAACAUGGAUUGGAUGAGAUGUAGUUUGUUGAGUUAGAUUUUUACUAUAGGAAAUUAAGUGAGUCAAGUAUUGAUUGGAGAGUUAAAUGUAAAUGACACAUUAAAUAUCAAAUUGACUGAUUGGAGAGUUAAAUGUAAAUGACACAUUAAACAUCAAAUUGACUGUAGUAGUUUUCUAACUUUAUUUAAUUUAAUUUAAUUUUUUUAAAUACUAUUAGUUAAUUUUUUUAUUUUAUUUUUUCAAAUUGUUGGACAAUUUUAACUUAUGAUUUCAUAGGUAUGACUCAUUAACUGAAUAUCGAAUAAGAAAUCAAUCUUGCAUGCCAAUAGCUUAUCAAUUUUGCUGAAAGAGAAUGAAUGCCAAUGUAAAGGAAAUUUGUUAUAUUAUAUUUUUCAUUACAAAUUCGCAAUGGGGGGUAACAAUAGAGAAAUAAUAUUAUACAUUGGCGUUAAAACACCUAGUGCAAUUUUACCAAAGAUAAUAUAAUAUUUAUUUAUAUAAAUAUUAUAUUAUAUAAAUAUUAUAUUAUAUUUGCCAAAAUUGCAUUAGGUGUUUUAAUGCCAAUGUACGGAUAUUCUUUCUUUAUUGUUAUCCUAUUACGGACAUGUAAUGGAGGCCAUAAUAUAAUGAAUUUCCUUUACAUUGGUAUUUGGUCUUUCUCUCAUCAAAAUCAAUAAGCUUUUAGGAUGCAAGAUUAAUUUCUUAUUUGGUAUUCAGGUAAUGAGCCAUGCUUAUAGAAUCAUAAGUUGAAACUGCCCAAAAAUCUGAAUAAACAAAAUAAAAAAAAUUAAUUUAUAGCAUUUAAAAAACUAAAAUAAAAUAAAUAAAGUUAAAAAACCAACUACAAUCAAUUUGAUGUUUAAUGUGCUAUUCACAUUUAGCCCUCUAAUCAAUACGUGGCUCACUUAGUUUUCGUGCGGUAAAAAUUUGACUCAUCAAACUUCAUUUCAUCAAACUCCAUAUUAUCUAACUGCAUAUCAAGAUCUGAUUCCAAUUCAGCUAAAGAAUUCAUUAGAGCUGUUCAAGAGAAGCCAAUAAUUUGUGCGGUUAUUGUGGCUUUUCUCCGGGUGAUUUCAGGAAAUAUGUAAGUUGGGAUAAGCUUGAUCCCUCCAGAUUAUUUUGCUUAAAUUGUUGUGGUAAAAUAAUUAUUUACUGGUUCACCAGGGAAAUAUGUUGGUCUAGCUUUUAUGUACAGUGAACAACAUACUUCAAUUAUUUAUGACAUCUUUUCAAAAAGCACAGGCUUGUCACCAAAUUAAUGUCUCUUAAAUUACUAUCAAGAAUUUGCCCAGUCUUUCUGCCACUGGGAAGGGAUAUUUAUGAUCCCAUAGAGAAGGGAAAUGGCGAAACCGAUGAUCAUGCAAUGGUCCUUAUGGGAUAUGGGUGCGACUACAAGGUGUCCAAUGGCUGAUUGUGCUGGGUUGUGAAGAACUCUAGUGGUGAGACUUUUGGAGAAAAUGGGUAUGCAAGAAUUUUCAUAAAUGGGAAAGAUUGUCUCUCUGAUAUACCUGACGACUACAAAGAAAGAAAGAUUGUCUCUCUGAUAUACCUGACGACUACAAAGAAAUUUGUAUGCAAGCCUAUGAUUUCGGUAUAAGGUAAUAAAUUUAAUUUAUAUUUUUAGCUAGAGGUUAACCUAUGAUUUCGGUAUAAGGUAAUAAAUUUAAUUUAUAUUUUUAGCUAUAGGUUAAUAAUUUUUUUUUGUGUUAACAGUUAUCCAUCUUAUUUGUAUUAUAAAAUUUAUUUUUGGCGCGAUAUUAAUAUAUAUUGUAUUAACAGUUAUUAAGAGUAGAUAGUACGGGACAAUAACAAAAGAGCAGCAGCAGGGAUUAGGCAUAUUUGACUCAUAGUGGGGAUUUAGCCGUUUUGUAGUGUUUCAGGGUGAGCAUGCUCACAGCUUGAAGGAUGGGGUAUGCUGAUUUUCAAGGGGUAAUUGUUUGUGCAGAGCUCUUCAAUGAUGUGUAUCUCUGCAGGUCCGCAAGCCUGCAACUGGAAAAUCGGAGCCUUAGUGUCUGAUACAUGUCACUUUCAUUGUCUUUUCAAUUCUCGUAUUUUCAAUUUGGCGCCUAGAAGUAUUAUUGGAUUGCUAAAGAUGGUAGACUCCUAGUAACCAACCUGAGCUGGUUAAUAUUUUGUCUUUCGAUGUUAUGCUUUUAUAAAAUUCCUGAUGUGUAUUUCUGCAGGUCCGCAAGCUUGCAACUGGAAAAUCAGAGCUUUAGUGUCUGAUUCCUGUCACUUGCAUUGUCUUUUCAAUCUUGUGUUUUCAAUUUGGUGCCUAGAAAUAUUAUUGGAUUGCUAAAAAAUGGUAACCAACCAGAGUUGGUUAUAACAAUCUAAAAGCAUUGCCAUUGACAAUUUGCAUAA